GUCGGGAUAGCUCAGCUGGYAGAGCAGAGGAC
RNAcentral lists this transfer RNA (32 nucleotides) under Achyranthes aspera. RNAcentral describes it as "partial tRNA-Phe". Lineage: Eukaryota; Viridiplantae; Streptophyta; Magnoliopsida; Caryophyllales; Amaranthaceae. The record is from RNAcentral.